RNAcentral lists this ribosomal RNA (482 nucleotides) under uncultured bacterium. RNAcentral describes it as "bacterial SSU rRNA". It matches the Rfam family "Bacterial small subunit ribosomal RNA", at positions 30 to 507 of the family's 1533-position model. The record is from RNAcentral.
AUUGAACGCUGGCGGCAUGCCUUACACAUGCAAGUCGAACGGGCAGCACGGGAGCUUGCUCCUGGUGGCGAGUGGCGAACGGGUGAGUAAUAUAUCGGAACGUACCCUAGAGUGGGGGAUAACGCAGCGAAAGUUGCGCUAAUACCGCAUACGAUCUACGGAUGAAAGUGGGGGAUCGCAAGACCUCAUGCUCAUGGAGCGGCCGAUAUCUGAUUAGCUAGUUGGUGGGGUAAAGGCCUACCAAGGCAUCGAUCAGUAGCUGGUCUGAGAGGACGACCAGCCACACUGGAACUGAGACACGGUCCAGACUCCUACGGGAGGCAGCAGUGGGGAAUUUUGGACAAUGGGCGCAAGCCUGAACCAGCCAUGCCGCGUGCAGGAAGACGGUCCUAUGGAUUGUAAACUGCUUUUAUACAGGAAGAAACCCUCCCACGUGUGGGAGCCUGACGGUACUGUAGGAAUAAGGAUCGGCUAACUCCGUG